GUCCAGACUCCUACGGGAGGCAGCAGUGGGGAAUAUUGCACAAUGGGGGAAACCCUGAUGCAGCGACGCCGCGUGAGCGAUGAAGUAUUUCGGUAUGUAAAGCUCUAUCAGCAGGGAAGAAGAUGACGGUACCUGACUAAGAAGCCCCGGCUAACUACGUGCCAGCAGCCGCGGUAAUACGUAGGGGGCAAGCGUUAUCCGGAUUUACUGGGUGUAAAGGGAGCGUAGACGGCGAUGCAAGCCAGAUGUGAAAGCCCGGGGCUCAACCCCGGGACUGCAUUUGGAACUGUGUGGCUGGAGUGUCGGAGAGGCAGGCGGAAUUCCUAGUGUAGCGGUGAAAUGCGUAGAUAUUAGGAGGAACACCAGUGGCGAAGGCGGCCUGCUGGACGAUGACUGACGUUGAGGCUCGAAAGCGUGGGGGGCAAACAGGAUUAGAUACCCUCGUAAU
Molecule: ribosomal RNA, 448 nt
Filed under: uncultured bacterium
Lineage: Bacteria
Description: bacterial SSU rRNA
Rfam family: Bacterial small subunit ribosomal RNA
Source: RNAcentral